UAGGGAAUCUUCGGCAAUGGACGAAAGUCUGACCGAGCAACGCCGCGUGAGUUAAGAAGGUUUUCGGAUCGUAAAACUCUGUUGUUAGAGAAGAACAAGGACGUUAGUAACUGAACGUCCCCUGACGGUAUCUAACCAGAAAGCCACGGCUAACUACGUGCCAGCAGCCGCGGUAAUACGUAGGUGGCAAGCGUUGUCCGGAUUUAUUGGGCGUAAAGCGAGCGCAGGCGGUGUCUUAAGUCUGAUGUGAAAGCCCCCGGCUCAACCGGGGAGGGUCAUUGGAAACUGGGUGACUUGAGUGCAGAAGAGGAGAGUGGAAUUCCAUGUGUAGCGGUGAAAUGCGUAGAUAUAUGGAGGAACACCAGUGGCGAAGGCGGCUCUCUGGUCUGUAACUGACGGUGAGGAUCGAAAGCGUGGGGAGCAAACAGG
RNAcentral lists this ribosomal RNA (429 nucleotides) under Gemmatimonadota bacterium. Its description in RNAcentral is "Gemmatimonadetes bacterium partial 16S ribosomal RNA". It matches the Rfam family "Bacterial small subunit ribosomal RNA", at positions 355 to 776 of the family's 1533-position model. The record is from RNAcentral. Lineage: Bacteria; Pseudomonadati; Gemmatimonadota.